AGAGCGAACGCUGGCGGCAGGCUUAACACAUGCAAGUCGAGCGGGCGUAGCAAUACGUCAGCGGCAGACGGGUGAGUAACGCGUGGGAACAUACCUUUUGGUUCGGAACAACUCAGGGAAACUUGAGCUAAUGCCGUAUACGCCCUUACGGGGAAAGAUUUAUCGCCGAAAGAUUAGCCCGCGUCUGAUUAGCUAGUUGGUGAGGUAAUGGCUCACCAAGGCUUCGAUCAGUAGCUGGUUUGAGAGAACGACCAGCCACACUGGGACUGAGACACGGCCCAGACUCCUACGGGAGGCAGCAGUGGGGAAUCUUGGACAAUGGGGGAAACCCUGGAUCCAGCGAUGCCGCGUGAGUGAUGAAGGCCUUCGGGUUGUAAAACUCUUUCGACGGGGACGAUAAUGACGGUACCCGUAGAAGAAGCUCCGGCUAACUUCGUGCCAGCAGCCGC
RNAcentral lists this ribosomal RNA (449 nucleotides) under uncultured bacterium. Its description in RNAcentral is "SSU rRNA". It matches the Rfam family "Bacterial small subunit ribosomal RNA", at positions 26 to 518 of the family's 1533-position model. The record is from RNAcentral.